This 467-nucleotide ribosomal RNA is filed under the name uncultured bacterium. RNAcentral describes it as "partial 16S ribosomal RNA". It matches the Rfam family "Bacterial small subunit ribosomal RNA", at positions 29 to 507 of the family's 1533-position model. The record is from RNAcentral.
ACGAACGCUGGCGGCGUGCUUAACCCAUGCAAGUCGAACGGAAAGGCCCUGCUUUUGUGGGGUGCUCGAGUGGCGAACGGGUGAGUAACACGUGAGUAACCUGCCCUUGACUUUGGGAUAACUUCAGGAAACUGGGGCUAAUACCGGAUAGGAGCUCCUGCUGCAUGGUGGGGGUUGGAAAGUUUCGGCGGUUGGGGAUGGACUCGCGGCUUAUCAGCUUGUUGGUGGGGUAGUGGCUUACCAAGGCUUUGACGGGUAGCCGGCCUGAGAGGGUGACCGGCCACAUUGGGACUGAGAUUCGGCCCAGACUCCUACGGGAGGCAGCAGUGGGGAAUAUUGCACAAUGGGCGGAAGCCUGAUGCAGCAACGCCGCGUGCGGGAUGACGGCCUUCGGGUUGUAAACCGCUUUCGCCUGUGACGAAGCGUGAGUGACGGUAAUGGGUAAAGAAGCACCGGCUAACUACGUG